This is an unclassified non-coding RNA of Ursus americanus (American black bear), 319 nucleotides long. Its record names the gene 7SK. It matches the Rfam family "7SK RNA". Rfam says of the family: 7SK was discovered as an abundant small nuclear RNA in the mid-70s but a possible function has only recently been suggested. Two independent studies have found that 7SK RNA binds the CDK9/cyclin T complex (known as elongation factor P-TEFb). P-TEFb activates transcription by phosphorylating the C-terminal domain of RNA polymerase II. Lineage: Eukaryota; Metazoa; Chordata; Mammalia; Carnivora; Ursidae. The record is from Ensembl.
GGAUGUGAGGGUGAUCUAGCUGCGACGUCUGUCACCCCAUUGAUCGCCAGGGUUGAUGCGGCUGAUCUGGCUGGCUAGGCGGGUGUCCCCUUCCUCCCUCACGGCUCCAUGUGCGUCCCUCCCGAAGCUGCGCGCUCGGUCGAAGAGGACGACCUUCCCCGAUAGAGGAGGACCGUUCUUCGGUCGAGGGUCUACGAGUAGCUGCGCCCCCUGCUAGAACCCCCAACAAGCUCUCGAGGAAACCCGAAAUGGUGGGGACUAGCUGUCACUGCUGAGUUCAGGAGCACUCUCGCUGCUGUUUUGUAGGGACCCGCGUAGU